This 743-nucleotide ribosomal RNA is filed under the name uncultured microorganism. RNAcentral's name for it is "bacterial SSU rRNA". It matches the Rfam family "Bacterial small subunit ribosomal RNA", at positions 8 to 797 of the family's 1533-position model. The record is from RNAcentral.
AGAGUUUGAUCCUGGCUCAGAAUGAACGCUGGCGGCAUGCCUAACACAUGCAAGUCGAACGAGACCUUCGGGUCUGGUGCCGCACGGGUGGGUAACGCGUGGGAAUCUGCCCUUCGGAUCGGACUAACCCAUGGAAACUUGCACUAAUACCGUAUACGUCCUUCGGGAGAAAGAUUUAUCGGAAUUGGAUGAGCCCGCGUCGGAUUAGCUAGUUGGUGGGGUAAAGGCCUACCAAGGCGACGAUCCGGAGCUGGUCUGAGAGGAUGAUCAACCACACUGGGACUGAUACACGGCCCAAACUCCUACGGGAGGCAGAAAUGGGGAAUAUUGGACAAUGGGCGCAAGCCUGAUCCAGCCAUGCCGCGUGAGUGAUGAAGGGCCUAGGGUUGUACAGCUCUUUCACCGGUGAAUAUAAUGACGGUAGCCGGAUAAGAAGCCCCGGCUAACUUCGUGCCAGCACCCGCGGUAAUACGAAGGGGGCUAGCGUUGUUCGGAAUUACUGGGCGUAAAGCGCACGUACGCGGAUAUUUAUGUCAAGGGUGAAAUCCCGGGGCUCAACCCCGGAACUGCCUUCGAUACUGGGUAUCUUGAGUUCGAGAGAGGUGAGUGGAAUUCCGAGUGUAGAGGUGAAAUUCGUAGAUAUUCGGAGGAACACCAGUGGCGAAGGCGGCUCACUGGCUCAAAACUGACGCUGAGGUGCGAAAGCGUGUGGAGCAAACCUGAUUAUAUACCCCGGUAGUCCA